AAUAACACUGGCAGGUAAGUACUAUCAUUAUCCCCAUUUUACAGAUGAGGAAACUGAAACAAACAAGAGGUUAAAUGAUUUGCCCAGAAUUAUAAGCAAAUAUUUGUCUAAGACUGGAUUUGAAUUCAGGUCUUCCUGCCUCCAGGUCAUGGACUCUAACCACUGCACCAACUAGCUGCUGAGAAGAAAGCCAUAGCAUUUUGAAGUCCCAUAGUACUUCUAUCUGAUUGUUAAAUGAAUGGCCUGUGUGUAAGAAUAACUUUUAUCAUUCAACUAUAACUCACAUUUACAAACUGUUUUUCUUACAACAAUUCAGUGAUAUAGAAUCAGCAUGAAUUUCAUCAUCUCCAUUUUCCAGAUGAGGAAAAUGAAGCUCAGACACAUCUGAAUUAUAUGGACAUCUAUUGUCAACCAACCAAUUCAGAAGCCUUCAUGUGCAUCUACUGUGUGUCAGGGGAGAUCUCAAGUAACCCAUUGUUACCUUGGUUAAGUAUGACUUCCCUUCAUCCUCAACUUAUUAAAGGCUCGCUCUUGGUAUGAUAAUGGUCAUAGUCUUUAAUGACACAAAAUAAAUCAUUUCUUUCUAUUCUAAGCUUACUGU
RNAcentral lists this long non-coding RNA (601 nucleotides) under Phascolarctos cinereus (koala). RNAcentral describes it as "lncRNA (ENSPCIG00000031144.1)". Lineage: Eukaryota; Metazoa; Chordata; Mammalia; Diprotodontia; Phascolarctidae. The record is from RNAcentral.